AGGAUUAGAUACCCUGGUAGUCCACGCCCUAAACGAUGUACACUAGUUGUUGGGGUGCUAGUCAUCUCAGUAAUGCAGCUAACGCAUUAAGUGUACCGCCUGGGGAGUACGGUCGCAAGAUUAAAACUCAAAGGAAUAGACGGGGACCCGCACAAGCGGUGGAGCAUGUGGUUUAAUUCGAAGAUACGCGAAGAACCUUACCUGGGCUUGAUAUCCUAAGAACCUUAUAGAGAUAUGAGGGUGCUAGCUUGCUAGAACUUAGAGACAGGUGCUGCACGGCUGUCGUCAGCUCGUGUCGUGAGAUGUUGGGUUAAGUCCCGCAACGAGCGCAACCCACGUAUUUAGUUGCUAACGGUUCGGCCGAGCACUCUAAAUAGACUGCCUUCGUAAGGAGGAGGAAGGUGUGGACGACGUCAAGUCAUCAUGGCCCUUAUGCCCAGGGCGACACACGUGCUACAAUGGCAUAUACAAUGAGACGCAAUACCGCGAGGUGGAGCAAAUCUAUAAAAUAUGUCCCAGUUCGGAUUGUUCUCUGCAACUCGAGAGCAUGAAGCCGGAAUCGCUAGUAAUCGUAGAUCAGCCAUGCUACGGUGAAUACGUUCCCGGGUCUUGUACUCACCGCCCGUCACACCAUGGGAGUUGAUUUCACUCGAAGCCGGAAUACUAAACUAGUUACCGUCCACAGUGGAAUCAGCGACUGGGGUGAAGUCGUAACAAGGUAACCGUAGGAGAACCUGCGGUUGGAUCACCUCCUUU
RNAcentral lists this ribosomal RNA (756 nucleotides) under Campylobacter jejuni. RNAcentral describes it as "bacterial SSU rRNA". It matches the Rfam family "Bacterial small subunit ribosomal RNA", at positions 774 to 1533 of the family's 1533-position model. Lineage: Bacteria; Pseudomonadati; Campylobacterota; Epsilonproteobacteria; Campylobacterales; Campylobacteraceae. The record is from RNAcentral.